RNAcentral lists this ribosomal RNA (173 nucleotides) under Assessor randalli (Randall's assessor basslet). RNAcentral's name for it is "partial 12S rRNA". The record is from RNAcentral. Lineage: Eukaryota; Metazoa; Chordata; Actinopteri; Plesiopidae.
AACCGCGGUUAAACGAGGGGCCCAAGUUGAUAGUCCUACGGCGUAAAGGGUGGUUAGGAGAAAAUCUUUAAACUAAAGCCGAAUGCCCUCAGAGCUGUAAUACGCUUAUGACGGUACGAAGAUCAACUACGAAAGUGGCUUUAACAACAUCUGACUCCACGAAAGCUGAGAAA